RNAcentral lists this long non-coding RNA (617 nucleotides) under Olea europaea subsp. europaea. The record is from RNAcentral. Lineage: Eukaryota; Viridiplantae; Streptophyta; Magnoliopsida; Lamiales; Oleaceae.
AUUCCACUUGCUAACCCCUCUUCUCCCAUCAUGCUACUUCUCUUCCACUUGAACAACAUAAUUUCCACCAAGAGGCAUCUAAGCUUGAAUUGGUUCAUGCUAUGGAAAUUCCCUAUCUUGGUUGAGAAUAAAACACGGACUCUCUGCCCUUGGCUUGACAAUCUCGAUUUUGUAUACAAUGAGUGGGUAUUUAAGAUUAAGCAAAAGCUAGAUGAUUCUAUUGAAAGCUUUAAGGCAAGACUUGUUGCUAAAGGUUCUAAUCAAAAUAAUGGUAUCGACUAUCAUGAAACAUCUAGUCCUGUUGUGAAAUCUUCUAUGUGUUCUUGGUGUUUGCAUUGGCAGUUUCUUUUUAUUGGCAUGUCAGGCAACUUGAUGUGUCAAAUGCAUUUGUACAUGGUUUUUGACUGAAGAUGUUUAUAUGGAGUAGCCUAAAGGAUUUGAAGAUUUUGUCAUCCUAAUUGGGUGUACCGUUUUCACAAGUUAAUCUAUGGGUUGAAACAAGACCCUCGAGCUUGGUUUCACUGUCUUUCUAGUGCUUUGAUUGAUAUUGGAUUUCAUUGUUCUGACUCGAAUCCAUCUUUAUUUGUGUUCCACUCUUGUGAUACUCAGAUUUUUGU